UGGGGAAUAUUGCACAAUGGACGGAAGUCUGAUGCAGCAACGCCGCGUGCGGGAUGACGGCCUUCGGGUUGUAAACCGCUUUUUCUCAUGACGAAGUUUUUUGACGGUAGUGGGGGAAGAAGCACCGGCUAACUACGUGCCAGCAGCCGCGGUGAUACGUAGGGUGCGAGCGUUGUCCGGAAUUAUUGGGCGUAAAGAGCUUGUAGGCGGUUUGUCGCGUCGAUAGUGCAAACUCAGUGCUUAACGCUGAGCCUGCUGUUGAUACGGGCAGACUAGAGGAAGGUAGGGGAGAAUGGAAUUCCCGGUGGGGCGGUGGAAUGCGCAGAUAUCGGGAGGAACACCGGUGGCGAAGGCGGUUCUCUGGGCCUUUCCUGACGCUGAGAAGCGAAAGCGUGGGGAGCGAACAGG
Molecule: ribosomal RNA, 408 nt
Filed under: Fusobacteriota bacterium
Lineage: Bacteria; Fusobacteriati; Fusobacteriota
Description: Fusobacteria bacterium partial 16S ribosomal RNA
Rfam family: Bacterial small subunit ribosomal RNA
Source: RNAcentral